Molecule: long non-coding RNA, 936 nt
Organism: Fopius arisanus
Lineage: Eukaryota; Metazoa; Arthropoda; Insecta; Hymenoptera; Braconidae
Exons: 4
Source: RefSeq, a predicted model, not a curated record
AUGAAGGGAGAAUGACGAGACGAUUUUCGAGCUGCUGGUUUGAUGCCCAAUAAAAAAUAAGAAGAGAGCCAACGAGGGGAAGGGGAAAAAAGAAAUAAGAAUCAGAUUCAAAAAGAGACACUCCUACGCAUUGUGGUGGAAGAGGUGUUACUUGUCAAGUCGACGGGGCCCCCGAGGCAAUGACAGGGCCCCGUAGGAAUUAGCAUGGGAUAAUGGGUCUGACCUUUUUUGAGAUACGAGUGAUGUGACAUCAGCCAACGAAUCAAAGUGACUGACGACACAAGCUGGACAAGGAGAGUGACACCUGACGGUUUAGGUAACGCCUCCUCGACACCUGGGCAACUUGUUGGAGGUCUUUUUGCCGAUGGUAUUACACACACCCACAUUCUUUGAUGACGAGAGAAGUGAUGAGGGAGAUCUGAUAAAUAGUGUAUCCUCCAUUCCUGGUACCUCCCCAACACCCACGUGCUAAUGUGGCCAGGGUUUCACAUCAUCUUGGGGAUCUGGAGUAUCCUGGAAAAUGCCGUCAUCGUGUUCCUGCAGAGGGAACAAGAAAGGAACAUGAUCGUUUUGGCAAUUUAUGAACAUCACAUGUCUCUUCGCUUUUUUUUCAUCGGGUUAUAAAAAAAGCAUAAUCUGCAGUUUGAAUUCGAAUAAAAGAUUACAAUUGAAAUGAACCCAGGCGCUCAUCAUUCAUCAUUGUCCAUUGGAUUUGGUUCUUUGUGGGAGAUUCGUGAGGCGAAUAUAUGUUUUUUGAUAGAGCGUUCCUUUGAUCGGUUUGGACGAUGAUAACCAUCGGAUAUUCCAAUGGCAUUUUCGACAGUGGCUCAAUGCCUUUUGACCUCAAGUCACGGUCAAAAUUGUCAGCAUCAUUCAAUGGCAAACAUUUUUUUCUUCUUUCCUUUUCAGUUUCUCUGAAAGGUUAUCAUUGCUUUU